This 4339-nucleotide long non-coding RNA is filed under the name Callithrix jacchus (white-tufted-ear marmoset). RNAcentral describes it as "lncRNA (ENSCJAG00000071079.1)". The record is from RNAcentral. Lineage: Eukaryota; Metazoa; Chordata; Mammalia; Primates; Cebidae.
AUGUCCUAUCAAGGCAGAAGUACAUUUUGUUCGUGCAUGCUAAUGACCUGUUUUCAUGUUUUGUGUUUUAGGAAUUAUUCCAUUGCUGUUACUCCUCAUAGACAUGUCUCCUCUUCUCCUGGAGGAAAUUCUGAAGAAGAUUUUUUUAAAGACAUGGUUGCCCAGGUUGGAGUGCAGUGGCCUGAUCUCAGCUCACUUCAACCUCCACCUCCAGGUAAAAGCAUUUCUCCUACCUCAGCCUCCUCAGGUGCACACCACCAUACCCAGCUAAUUUUUGUAUUGUUUAGUGGAGAUGGAGUUUUACCAUAUUGGCCAGGCUGGUCUUGAACUCCUUUUGAUCCACCCACUUUGGCCUCCCAAAGUGCUGGGAUUAUAGGCAUGAGCCUGGCCAAGAAGCCUUUUCAAGGUCGCCUAAUAGGUAAUUGUCAAAGUAGAUAUUUUAAACCCAGGCAGUUUGAUAUCUUAACCUUUACGAUAUUUCAUUUCAUAGAAAUGAAAACAACUAUACAACAAAUUUAGAAAUAGAGAAAUAAAUAUUUUAAUGGGUUUAAAAAAAAUUUGACUUCUGCUUACAGUGAAGUUGAAGUAAUAUAGACUAGAUUUAUUUUCCAAUACUAGAAACCACACAAAACAUAUAAAACAACUGUUUUUGUUAUUUUGCUUUCAUUUUUUUUUUGUAUAUUGAACAAGAGAAAAUGCAGUACAGGAAAGUGAUUCAUGAAUAAGAGAAAACAAGGCAGCUAAGCCCCAUCAUUGCCUCAGCUUAUUGCUUUAACAGAGUUCCUAGGCUUAAAUGCAAAGCAUAUAGAAUGGAACAGAGAUUAGUGGUCCUGCUGAGUUGAGAAGACAUUUGGAGUUCAGAAGACCAAGGUAGUUAAAAUUUAUAAAAAUAAAUUUGGAGAGUAGAGAGACUGACAGAGGGUGAGCCCUGGAUAUUGGCAAUGAAAAUAUCUUUUCUUUUUGUCUAAAUAUUGAAUUUUGUCUGCAUGAGAGGGCAUUGAUUCAGGUGAAGAAAAUAAUAGUUGGAGAGAAAUAGUGCUUAUAACUCCUCAGAAGAUUUCUAUACUAAGUGAUUAUUUUUGAUCAUUCUAACAAUUCUAACUUAGAAGUAAUUAUUGGAAAGGAUCCAACUGGUCUAAAGUGUCUUAACUGUGAUCUAUUACAAAGACCAACAAUAUUUAAAGGACUACAAAAAACAUCCAGAGAACAAAAACAUAAAUUCCAUAACGCCCAACACCCAAACACAAAUUAACAGGCAUGAGAGGAAAUAGAAAAAUAUAAUCCAUAACAGAGAAAAAUCAAUAAAUAGAAGUAGGCCCUCAAAUUUAAGAUAUUAUAGAAUUAGCAGAAAACAACACUAAGGUAUCUAUUAUACAUAUAAUUCGUAUUUUUAAAAGGUAUAAAAAUGAUAGACGUGGAAAGAAUGAAAUUGAAUUUUUAGAGAUGAAAUACACUAUCUGAAAUAAAAUAUACAUUGGAAGAUAUUAACAGAAGAUCAGAAACUGCAGAAUAAAAUGUCAAUAAAUAUAAAUAUAUAGAAAAAAAUUAUUCAAAUAAAACACAGAAUGAAAAAACCCACAAAUAUUAGCAUGACUUCUGUAGGUUACUACUGAGCUGCUACUAACAGGUUACUUUCGGGUAUAACAAUUUGAGGCAAUUACCAAUAUAAUGAAUUGGACAAAUAAUAGUCAACUGUGAAGAUGUAACUGAAUUAUGUAAGGAGAACAAUUGUGUGUGUGUGUGUGUGUAUAUAUAUAUAUAUAUAUAUAUGCACUAUACACAUAUAUAUACACUAUAUAUAUAUAUACAUGAUAUAUAUAGUACAUAUAUAUACAUAUACACGAUAUAUAUAGUAUAUAUAUACUAUAUUUAUUCAUAUAGAUACACAUACAUAAAAGUUAUUUUAACAAAGUCUAUGCAGCAGCUUUUGGACUCAAUUCUUUGUCCUUGAAGGUAAGAAUGUUGUCAUUCUGUUUUGCAUAAGAAAUGGGUCUUUACAUGGGAAUUACAUAUUUGUGGGUUUUUACAUGUUUUUUCUAAAUAGUAUGUCAGAAAACUGAGGAGUUUGGAUAAAGAUAAAAAGAAAGAAUUUUCGAAAGGAGGAGGGGGAGCUCUGGAAAGGAAAAAAAGGUUUUAGUUAGCUUUGAGACAGUAUUUUGUAGCAAGGCAGUCUUUGAGUCCUGAAUGGUUCUUCUUUGUUUUCUAGCCUCAAGAUAUCAAUGAGAUAUGCAUCUCUUGUUUAAAAAAUAAAAUUUUAUAGCAGCAAUUUUUAAAUUUAGUUUUAAAACAACAGAAUGUUUGAAUGAGCCAUAUAAUAUUUGAGCAUAUUACCAGUCAGAGUGCCAGAAAAUGUCUUGGCAUGACUUUAAACUUUCUUGUGUUGAGUUUAUCCAAAGCCAUAAGGUGCAGGAAUUUUCCCCAUAGUUUUUAAAUGUAAAGGUUGCCUGAGUACCUGAAGGCAGCUGGUCGGAGAUUCAAUAUAUGCAUUAAAAUUGAUCUAAAGCUAAAAGUAAUACAGAUGACUUUUUUUAAAAGAUAAAUGACUUUUUCAUAUAUAGCUCAGAUUUGUUUAAUGGUAUGGGGAAAGAAUAACAGCAAAUUUGAAAACGGGAGCCCCAAUGCCUCCUAAAAGAUCCAUGUACUAUGAUAAAGCAACCUGUUCAUUGCCAUUCUCAGAUUGCAAAUGCAUAGAAAAUACUAAAGAGACUCUCAAGCUUGGAAGAUGGUUGGCUCUCCUUUACACAGUAUUAUGUUUCCUUAUUGAAGUGUAAACUUUAUGAGAGCAGAAAUCACAUAAUUUGUUUGCUUCCAUAUUUUUAACUUCUGUGACAGUGGAAUGUAAAAUAUGCUGUUGACAGAUUGAUUGAAUGACAUAUAGGAGGAUUCAUAAACCAAAGUAGUUAACAAAAAAAGGAUAUUUAAUAAAUUAUUUAACUCAUUUCUAUCAAAGAGACAGUAAGAGUCGGUGGAGGAGGGAAGAGGCAGAAAAAAUAUGAAACUACUGUAAUGAAAAGAAAAUGUAAACAGCCAACACGAAAUUGAUCAAUGAAAGGGAAAGUAGUCACAUGCAACAUGACACAUAACUGAGGUAGCUUUACAGAAGUGUAUGUGAAGAAUAAAAACAGGAAGUAAAGGAGAAUGGAAAAUUUAUAAGAUAGACACACAAAAGGUGCAUAAAAGUCCGUUUAAGAAGUAAUGCAGGCCGAGUGCAGUGGCUCACACCUGUAAUCCCAACAUAUGGGAGGCCAAGGAGGGUGGAAAAUUUGAGGUCAGGAGUUUGAGACCAGCCUGUCCAACAUGAUGAAAACCUGUCUCUACUAAAAAUAUAAAACAAUGAGCAAGGCAUGGUAGUGCAGGCCUGUAAUCCCAGCUACUUCGGAGGCUGGGCAUGGUAGCACACACCUAUGAUCCCAGCUACUUGGGAAGCUGAGGCACAACAAUCUCUUGAACCAGGAAACAGAGGUUGCAGUGAGCCAAGAUCAUGCCACUGUGCUCCAGUCUAGGUGACAGACUAAGCCCCUAUCUCAAAAGAAGGAGGAGGAGGAGGGGGAGGAGGAAGUAAUGAAAAGGCUUUGGCAUAGAUAGUCUGACACUCUGCCAACAUCAAUUUAUGUGAUGAUUUAUACCACAAUCAAGGCUUUUGUCUAUUAAUCCAACAGUUCUACUACAAAUAAUUUCUAACAAGCAUCACAAAAAACUUGACCCAAAAGAUUAAGUAAUAAAGUAGUAUCUUACUUUGUAGAAACUCACCAGAAAGCCAACAAAAAUGAUAUAAAAGACCAAGAAACAAUGGUGUGAUAAUGUGAUUGUAAAAGGACCCCUGUACCUAUAAUCCCUGGUCCUUUGCCUGCGAGAUUUUGUAACUACUUUCAAGGGAAGGUGUAGCCAAUUUUUCUUUUUUCAAUUUGAGCUGGACUUUUCCCUUAUUUGGUCAGAAUUAUGUGGCAUAAACAAUGCGUUGCCAGUUCUGAGCCUAGACUUUAAGAGGCUAUACACACUUAUUAUCUCUGGAAACCAUGCAGAGCUGCCUUAAGCUAGGUGGGGGACAAUGAAAGAUAGGAGAGGCCCUGUGGACCACGUUCCCAGCCCAACCCUCUGAAGAGGACUCAGCUUGCUGACUGGCUGCUGGAAGCACUUGUAUACAUGAGGACCCAGCCAAAAUCAGAACUGUACCACCCAGAUGGCUGGCUUGCUGAAAAGCAAAAGCUAACUUAGCUACAUGGUUUGUAAAUACACUAGUAUUUAAAAUUUAUAGAAUCGUCUACCUCACUUCCCACCAAAAAUAAAUUCUGAGUUUCUAUUUGCCAAUUUGAGAAUUAAUAAAAUUGUUGAAUAUAGG